GUUUCUUGGAAGCCAGUGCUGACACGUCUACAUGCUGUCCUGCUCUGUCCUGCAUUCAAGCCUUGGGUAUGCCACUGCAGGAUGAAGUACAGCAUGAAGAGUUUUUAUUCACACCAGGAAAGGUAAAGCAGAGGGGUCUUUGGAGACUGAAAACUCUUCUAACUGUGGACACAGCUAUUUGAGAAUUCCAGCCCCUGAGAACAGGACAGCUUGUUCCAAGGUUUUCAUUAGGAGGGAUGGACUGUGCAGCUCAGUAUCAUAUUCAGCAGCUGUUGUUCUGGAACUGACCAUCCAAGACAAGUGAGAUAAAAAACCUGCUUCCACAGGGAUGUAAAGGCAAGAUCAUAUG
RNAcentral lists this long non-coding RNA (349 nucleotides) under Anser brachyrhynchus (Pink-footed goose). Its description in RNAcentral is "lncRNA (ENSABRG00000007976.1)". The record is from RNAcentral. Lineage: Eukaryota; Metazoa; Chordata; Aves; Anseriformes; Anatidae.